RNAcentral lists this ribosomal RNA (494 nucleotides) under uncultured bacterium. RNAcentral's name for it is "bacterial SSU rRNA". It matches the Rfam family "Bacterial small subunit ribosomal RNA", at positions 28 to 555 of the family's 1533-position model. The record is from RNAcentral.
AAUCAACGCUGGCGGCGCGCCUAACACAUGCAAGUCGCACGAGAAAGCGGGGCAACCCGCAAGUACAGUGGCGUACGGGUGAGUAACACGUGGAUGAUCUACCUUCUAGUGGGGAAUAACCCUGGGAAACCGGGGCUAAUACCGCAUAAGCUCGAGAGAGGAAAGCAGCAAUGCGCUGGAAGAGGAGUCCGCGGCCGAUUAGCUAGUUGGGAGGGUAAAAGCCUACCAAGGCAAAGAUCGGUAGCCGGCCUGAGAGGGCACACGGCCACACUGGCACUGAAACACGGGCCAGACUCCUACGGGAGGCAGCAGUGGGGAAUCUUGCACAAUGGGGGAAACCCUGAUGCAGCGACGCCGCGUGAGCGAUGAAGCCCUUCGGGUGUAAAGCUCUUUCGUCGGGGAAGACGAUGACGGUACCUGGAGAAGCAGCUGCGGCUAACUACGUGCCAGCAGCCGCGGUAAUACGUAGGCAGCAAGCGUUGUUCGGAGUUACU